This 484-nucleotide ribosomal RNA is filed under the name uncultured bacterium. Its description in RNAcentral is "partial 16S ribosomal RNA". It matches the Rfam family "Bacterial small subunit ribosomal RNA", at positions 30 to 507 of the family's 1533-position model. The record is from RNAcentral.
AUUGAACGCUGGCGGCAUGCCUAACACAUGCAAGUCGAGCGGACGAACGGAGCUCGCUCCUGGCUUCCGUGGCGGACGGGCGAGUAAUGCCCAGGAAUCUGCCCUGCCUUUGGGGCUAACGUCCGUACACGGGCCCUAAUACCGCAUACGUCCUGAGGGAGAAACUGGGGGAUCUUUGGACCUCACGCUAUUAGCUGAGCCUGGGUCGGAUUAGCUAGUUGGUUAGGUAAAGGCCUACCAAGGCGACGAUCCGUAGCUGGUCUGAGAGGCUGAUCUGUCACACUGGAACUGAGACACGGUCCAGACUCCUACGGGAGGCAGCAGUAGGGAAUAUUCGGCAAUGGGCGAAAGCCUGAUCGAGCAAUGCCGCGUGAGUGAUGAAGGUCUUCGGAUUGUAAAGCUCUUUUAGUUGGGAAGAAGAACAGUGAAAGAAAACAUGGCUGUUUUGACGGUACCAACAGAGAAAGCAACGGCUAACUACGUG